AUUUAACUCUUUCUUCAUUCUUAACACAUUCAAGUCUAACUAUUGGCGGACGUUUUAUUAAUGCUUUUUAAUCUAGCUUAUGGAGGGUGAUAACUACGGGAAACUGUAGCUAAUACCGCGUACCAUAGGAUGAGCCCAAGUGGGAUUAGGUAGUUGGUGAGGUAAAGGCUCACCAAGCCGACGAUCUCUAGCUGGUCUGAGAGGAUGACCAGCCACACUGGGACUGAGACACGGCCCAGACUCCUACGGGAGGCAGCAGUGGGGAAUAUUGCGCAAUGGGGGCAACCUGACGCAGCCAUGCCGCGUGAAUGAAGAAGGCCUUCGGGUUGUAAAGUUCUUUCGGUAGCGAGGCGUUAACUACAGAAGAAGCACCGGCUAACUACGUGCCAGCAGCCGCGGUAAUAC
This 405-nucleotide ribosomal RNA is filed under the name uncultured bacterium. RNAcentral describes it as "partial 16S ribosomal RNA". It matches the Rfam family "Bacterial small subunit ribosomal RNA", at positions 32 to 526 of the family's 1533-position model. The record is from RNAcentral.